This is a long non-coding RNA of Rhincodon typus (whale shark), 4948 nucleotides long. RefSeq lists it as uncharacterized. NCBI's taxonomy places the organism in Eukaryota, Metazoa, Chordata, Chondrichthyes, Orectolobiformes, Rhincodontidae. The transcript has 2 exons. The record is from RefSeq and is a predicted model, not a curated record.
UUUUAAGAGGUUUGACCAGUUAUAAAAGGAUCAACUUUAAUUUUCUUAGAUGUUAGAAAUGCUGAUCGAUAUGACACGGUGGGUCUUAAACAGGAAGCACUACCAACAGGAAGGAAGUUAAAGCCAGAUACUGUAUGCUUUGCAAGCGCAAGAAAAGCUAUGAGCAGAGGAUCUGGAGGGUGAAGUUAAUCAAUGCGUAGAUGUGGAAAAAAGGGAAGAAGGUUUCAAGCUAAAAGGAUGACUUGGUUGUCAAAGAGCUAUCAUGGCAGUACUCUCAUCUGCUGGUUUGGAGAAAUAAGAACUUCAAUGGUAUCUGUUUGAAAAACUGAUGGGGUAUAAUGACUCAUAGAUAUAGUAAGAGACUGAGAAAAGCCCAUUGUUUAGCCAGCCACCUUGUAAGCAGAAUGGACCAGUGAACUGUUCUCCACUACUGACCGCACGUUUUAAAUCUGCAACCUGUACUGUCCAGAAGGGUAAAAGAAGUGCAUUGUGAGAACACCAGCACCUGAAUGUUCCCUUCUAAGCCACAGAACAACCUGACUUGGAACUAAUCAAUCAAUUCUUCACUGUUGCUGGAUCAAAUUCCUGGAACUCAGUUCCAAUUAUGAAUGUGCAUAUCUCUAUAAUCCAAGGACUGCAAUGGCUCAAAGGCAGCUCACUACCACUUUCUCCAAGGAACCUAGACAACAAAUGGGACAUGGACAUCAUGUCCAUGUCCAAUGUCCAUGUCCCAUGAACAAAUAAUUUUAAAAAUUAAGGAUUUUUUCCACAUAAACAAUUUUGGCUGAAGGAUGAAUGUCUAGGCAGGAUAUAUCAUGUGAUGACAGGAGCAGGAUGUUGGAAUUGUAUAACACUGGUACAAUUCUAUCAUUGUAAUGAGGGCAGGUCUGAUGCACAACUGAGUUUGUUACGCAGUGCACUGUGUUGAACAAGCAUGGCUAGAUCUCUUCCUCAAUCAAACCACCAAAAUGAUGGAUGGCGUUUUUCAACUUGCAUAUUUUGUUGGCAAAGAGCAGGUAUAACGUUGCAAUAUAUAGCUUGGCGACUUCAUGUCCAGUACAUUUGUGUUCCACUGCACAUGUCCUGUCCUGUAGAGAAUGGAAGUCUUAGAAAACUCACCAGUUAUCUUGGGAAUGGAAGGUCAGUAAAUUAUAGCCAUCAACUGCCACUGAUUGAAGAAGUUUCAGAGCAAGGCAACCUCACCAUCCAGUGAAAAAUACUGGUGAUUACAAAUGACUUGCAGAAUAUCUGUAAACUCAUGUAAAUUAUACAAAAUGUGCCAUGAAACUGUCAUUGGCUUUCAUUUUAGUACCUUGUGUUCCUCACAAAUCAGAUGUUUAAUGGUUGUGGAAAGUACAGCUCAUUCUAUAGUACAGAAUCAGAAAGAAUGGAUAUAACAGCUUCAGUAACAAAUUUAAAAUGUGUUUUCUUGUCAUUGACAAAAACAUCUGCAUAUCAGGAAUCAUUUUGAGGAUCUAUAAUUUUUCCCAAAAAAAGCUACAAUGUGAUGUCCAUGAAAUCAAUUUCUUGAACAGGAAUAGGUUGUGGUGUAUUAUUCUCGCUGUUUUGUACCAACACUCAGACAGCUCUGCUGAUCCUGCAGAUAGGUCUGAAAAGGUCCCUUUUGCUACAGGGAUGACACAGCACAUUAAUGGUUGGGUAAUUUACCCGCCAAUGGGAGUGUUUCUCACCAUGCCAUGAACAAGGAGCAAUGAUGGAAGUGUACCCUCUUUCCAUUUCUGAUUGACUUAAUUGGCUUGCAGUUGACAAACUGGACAGGUUCAGCUGAGGGCUUCAGGGAAAAUCUUUGUCAUAAUUCAGGAGAGAUUAUUCUGUUUAUAGAUUUCAACCUACUGGACUAUUUGAGCAUCUUUGGACAAUGUGAGACCUUCCCUGGAGUGUAAAAGAUCAAACAGAGCACCACCCAGGAUAUAAACUGAUAAACUGAUCUCACAAAGUCCCAUGUUUAUGGUGAUCUGCUAAAGAAUAGAGGUUAUUUAUGAAAGAAAUGAUACACAUGCCUGGUUCCUGGCAAUGCUGUUGGAACCCGAAUGUAACUGAUAACCAAGAAGCAACUUCAACUGAACUAGGUGAUAAGAGCCUUAAUUAAAUCUAUCUGAACUUGGACAAAAACUAGAACAACAUGUUACCACUGGUGUAUAAAAUCACAUAAAACUGGUCUUUCGCAGAUUUGGAAGGAACAUCUGAGAUAGUACAGUAUUGGGUAUACCAUUGAUGCCACCUUUAACUGAGAAGCCUGGCCUGUAUGGGCCUCAUGAUACAAAAGCUAUGCUAGAGCUAAGGACUUACCUUGUACUAAUGCUAUACAUGUAUUUUGUCCUUAAGGAAGCACAUGUGUUCAUCACUGAAUAGGAUCUUUUCGAUCGUGCUUCAGCUUGUCACCUUUUUUUAGCCCAAAGCAUAGCAUUCUGUCAUGUUGAUCUUCGACUGCAUACUGACAGAUUGGUGAUUAUUCUAUGUACAGUAUAGAACAAGUGUCCUCAACCAUUCCAACCACAGCAUCAGUUAAACCUGAAAGUGGCUAAUUGCUUUUGCUUCAAGCCUUCCCUGAGAAUUCAACUUGUGCUGCUGACUGUUUUGAAUGUGAUGGUGCAAACACAAGUCCUGAAACACUAUUGAAUAAAGCUGAAUUGAUCAAAGGCUGUAAAGAGGGAAAAUAAAUUGUUUUUAUUAAGUUAACACCUAUUUAAAUAAAACCUAUCAACUUAUUAUGGUCAUUUAUGUUGGAAAGGAUGGUGUAACAAGGAAUUGCACACAGAACUUGUCAGAAUGAUUCUUCUGUCUACUGUUUUUAAAAUGUAUUCAUUUAUGGGAGGUGGGCAUCACUGGCGGGGCCAACAUUUAUUGCUGUCCCUGGUUGCCUUUGAGAAGGUGGUGAUGAGCUGCCUUCUUGAACUGCUACAGUCCACCUGCUGUGGGUUGACCCACAAUGUCAUUAGGGAGGGAAUUCCAUUUAGUAUUGUGAGUAAAAUAAGACUGCACAUUCUGAAGCUAAUUCCUCAUGGGGAUAGAUCUAAAAUAUAGAAGAGGUCAAAUUUCAGGUCUCAUUAGCAUGAAUUAACAUGGGAGAAAUUUCUGGUGUUUGAGAUACAUGUUUGAGAUACAACAAGUCCUUGGCAGAAGAAAAUAUCAAGAAAGCCUGUAAAGGCAAUAUGCCCAAAAUGCCUUGGUCUUUUACUUUCUUGUAUUGAUUGCUACAAAUUGGUGUAACUUGGCUUAUUAUAAUGGCUCUCAUUUGUAGAUUAAGGGCAAUAUGUACAAAGUUGUAAAAUUAAUGGGCUCAUAAGAGGUAUAAAAAGUACACCCAAAUCUGAGGGGAGGUGGGUAACAGCCAUUUUUCUGGUAUAUACUUGCCAUUUCCUCAAGUUUUUUUUUUACAAAGCCCUUUACCUUCAGAGAGACUAGCACUGUAUUUUCUGUUUCCUUCAAAGGCAUCAAUCUGAAUCAUCAAAAUUGAAAAGCUUUUAUAAUCACAUGCUCUUCAAUAUUCAACUUCAGUAUGAUGUGUUCUCAACUAUCAGUGAAAGCUAGGCAGAAUCAAAUGGAAUAGUGCUAAAGGUGAUGAAAUGUUAAAAAUAGAUGGGUUGUGCUGCAGUAUCAGUGUUACACUGGCUCAAAAGCCCAUUCACCUGAAGCAAUUCACAUCCACAAAUCAGACUACAUUCCAAGCCAAGGGGAGGUGGUGCAUAGUGGUAACGUCACGGGGAACAUGGAUUAAAAUCUCACCAUAGCAGCUGGUAGAAUUUGAAUUCAAUUAAUAAAUCUAGAAUUAAAAACUAGUCUCCGUAAUGAAGACCGUUAAACUAACAUCAAUUGUUGUAAAAAACCAUCGGGUUUACAAAGUUCCAUUAAGGAGGGAAGACUGGUAUCCCUGCCUGGUUUGGCCUACUUGUGACUCCAGACCCAUGGUAAUGUGCUUGAUUAUUAACUGCUCUCUGAAAUGGCAAAAUAGACUAUUUGGUACAAAGGCAGUCAGGAAUGGGAGACAAAUAGUGCCAUUGACACUAAUGGCAACAGCCCACGAAAGGAUAGAGAGAACAAAAACAAUCUCCACUAACUGCAUGUCAUCACUGAGAAAUUUGGGUUAUUGAGUAAAUAUCUAAUUUCAUGAUUUAUAUGUUUGUUAUAACCACAUGAGGACUGAAAGACCAUAAGGAAUAGGAGCAGAAUUAGGUCAUGCAACCAUCGAGUCUGCUCCACCAUUUGACCAUGGCUGAUAUGGUUCUCUUCUCCUGCCUUCUCCCUGUAACCCUUGAUUCCACAAGACGGUGGCAGAGUGGUAGUGCAAUGUCCAGGCUCCUCAGCCCAGGAGACUGGAACUCGUCUACUCCAUCCACAUUACUUUUUAUUUUUUCUAUGCUUUUUCUUUAAUGUUUCUAUUUAUUAUGGCACCUUAUCAUCUUUUAACGACUUCAGCAGAAGGUGGUUUCUCCUGGCUGAGGCCCAGCAACAAGAUGCCUUCCAAUGUCCCAGACUGGCAGUAUAGGCCUGGUGUGUAGCGGGGUGGUCUCCCAGUGUGGUAGUCUUAUCCAGGAGAGGUGGUCUCCUGGCACGGAAAUCUUGCCCUGUAUUGGUGGUUGUCUUCGGUGGUUGCUAGGUAUUCCAGCAGUCUGGCAUGGAAGUCUCAUCCUCGCUUCAGAAGUGGCUUCCGGGUCUUCCAAAAGCCCUGCAUAGAGGUCUUGUCUUGGUGUGGCGGGGCUGUCUCAGCCCAGUGUUAUGCUCUCAGCCUGGCACUGUGUGACGGUUUUGACCCAGUUUUCCAGCAUUCCCCAAAUCUAGGAGCCGUUAACUGAAUGGUGAUGAACUUUUUUUUUCCUGUUUAUGACUUCUGUCAUUAAUUUAGCUGCCGUGGUGUGACAACUUAUAAAAUGUUUCACUGUUUUGUUUUGUAACAAUACACGUGACAAUAAAUUGCUAUUCUAUUCUA